RNAcentral lists this ribosomal RNA (479 nucleotides) under uncultured bacterium. RNAcentral's name for it is "bacterial SSU rRNA". It matches the Rfam family "Bacterial small subunit ribosomal RNA", at positions 56 to 522 of the family's 1533-position model. The record is from RNAcentral.
UGCAAGUCGACGGAAACGAUGGGAGCUUGCUCUCAGGCGUCGAGUGGCGGACGGGUGAGUAAUACAUAGGAAUCUGCCCAGUAGCGGGGGACAACUUGGGGAAACUCAAGCUAAUACCGCAUACGCCCUACGGGGGAAAGCAGGGGAUCUUCGGACCUUGCACUAUUGGAUGAGCCUAUGUCAGAUUAGCUUGUUGGUGGGGUAACGGGCCUACCAAGGCGACGAUCUGUAGCUGGUCUGAGAGGACGAUCAGCCACACUGGGGACUGAGACACGGCCCAGACUCCUACGGGAGGCAGCAGUGGGGGAAUAUUGCACAAUGGGCGAAAGCCUGAUGCAGCAAUGCCGCGUGUGUGGAAGAAAGCCUGCGGGUUGUAAAGCACUUUCAGUAGGGAGGAAACAGUUGCGGGUUAAUAUCCCGCGACCUUGACGUUACCUACAGAAGAAGCACCGGCUAACUCUGUGCCAGCAGCCGCGGUA